Molecule: long non-coding RNA, 1583 nt
Filed under: Numida meleagris (helmeted guineafowl)
Lineage: Eukaryota; Metazoa; Chordata; Aves; Galliformes; Numididae
Description: lncRNA (ENSNMEG00000022004.1)
Source: RNAcentral
CCUCAACCUCACAAACACAUAAUAGCUCUUGGGAAAAAAAAAAAAGGUUUUUGUUUUUUUUUUUUUAAGGAAGAGCAGAAAACAUAAGAAUACAAGAAUUAGUACAGUUAGCACAAAAAAACAAAACAAAACAAAACAAAAAAAACGUGGAACUGAAAAUUAAUAUAAGCACUCAACAAAUUCAACCUCAGAGAAGCUUCACUGCCAAGUUCCUGUAGUUCUUGUGUUCUGUUUACUGUGGUUUGUUUUGUACCGUCCCAACACAGAUGUGGGAUUUCAAGAAAGAACACAACCUUUUUGUAGAACUAUAGGAAAUAAUAUGAUUAAUGCUGGUCGGUGCCUGUUUUCCAUCUUCCCUCCUGUAAAAGAAGCAGAGAUUUCUGUUCUUGCAGGGAUCAUCUGAGGUUACAAGAUUAUCUGAGAGACAGCUGAAACUUUUGAAAAAACCCUGCUGUUCAUUAUGGUUUCUCAGCUGGAUGUUGCUAACCCCACAGCUGAGCUGCUGGUGGAACAGAUCUGAUGGGGGUUCCCUCUAUCAUAAAAGUGCAUGUGUUAGUGUAAGCUUCCACCACGGUUUUGCCUAAGCAAGGUGAAUUUCUCCAUGAGCACACUGGGGGUGCUGACACAAGGUUCAGCUGCUGGAGUUGAGGAUUAUGUCUGAGUGAUGAGCAAUCAAACAAUUUUCAGCAUUUUCAUAUGAAGUGUGGUUGUUGGAAUCUGCUUUCGCAUUCUCUGAUAUGAACGAGGAAAUUUCAUUUGAGAGCUGUUGGGUUCUGGUUCUUUCUAGGAAGCUGCACUUGUUUCAUGUUGAGAAAAUCCAGAGAUUUCAUUAACAACACCAAGACUAAGGGUGCAGAGGAGAACUGAGAUUUCUGCAUGAGUUUUGACCUCUGCCCAUUCCUUUUUUGAUGGUAUACUCAGGUUUCACACAUCCAUGCUCUGAGAAAUGGUGCAGUAGGGCCAUUGAAGCCUGGGUGUCUGUGGACCAGCAUCUUCUCUGGUAUCUAAUAAGGCUUUUCCUACAGAUGAGACAGAGAGUGUGUUUACCUGAGAGUUUUGGAGAUUUCACUCCUGGACCAGUGCCUCCCUCCACCCACAGCAAGUCCUGCUGUAACCCACGGGGCCACCCAGCAAAAGAGAAAGAUGCGCUUCAAGGUACCCAGCACCUGAUUUCUUACCUUUUAAUAUGCGUUUAUAUAUCCUAUAUCUAAAGAUUGUGACGCGGGCACGCACAGCUUUUUGCAGAGAUGCGGCGUCAGUAAGACCAGUGGCAUCACUCUCCGCAGAGUGUUCUGCCCGAGCCUGGAGAGGCGGCCGGCGUCCCGCGGAGCCCCCGCAGCGUGCUGGGAGCCGAGCAGAGCGGAGCGCUCGGUGGCAGUGGCCGUGCCCGUCCGCUUGGAGUCACUGCAGCACAGCACCUGCCCGCGGCCGAGCCUGCUGCUGCGCGUCACCGACAGUUCCUUUCGAAUUCAUUAGGUGAUGUGCUUGAGUUGAAACAGGGCCGUGAAAGCUACGUUUUGGCAGACAGUUGAGGAAUAUCUGUUUUCUUGUGCACACUGAAAUAAAAGCAAAGUGUUAGCUCA